GAGGGGAUACCCUGAGACUGAGGGGUUACUGCCAGGGAGCUGCACCCCAGAUAAUGGGGUACCAGGUCUGGGAGGGACAUGGGGGCCAAGCAGCAGUGGGACACCAGCCAGCAGAGGGCACUCCAAGGCUGGAAAUGAGCUAAUGCCUGGAGAUGACCAGAAGGAGGUGCUGCAGGGACCACCUGCAAGACUCCUAAGGCUUACAACCAUUUAAAGCCUUACUCAAGAAAUUCUGCUGUGAAAAGCAAACAGGAACAGGAUGCCAGAACUGGGAAAAGAGAGACCAAGAAGCCCUGAUGCUAGAGUUGAGGAUGAAAUUCGGACAAAAAUGCAAGCAAAUCUAUCCCCCUUCAAUCAAAGGGAGCUGAUAUUACCUCUGGAUAUAGUACUGGCAAGACCAUAACUAGAAUACUUUGUCCAGCUUGGGGGUUAAAACAUCAAAAAUGAAGUUGAAAAAUUAUAAAGGUUUGAGAAAAGAAUUACAAAAAUGAAUUGAGGUGUGGAAAGACUGCCUUACAAUGACAGGCUUAUAGAGUUUGGUUUUUCUUACCAAAGAGAAGGUUAAGUACAAAGAAACAGAAACUGGAAUUUCCGCCCUUUAAUUUCAUCCUAAAUCAAGCUAAAAAAUGGAAAUAUGUUUUUUUUCCAUAACAUGGACAGUUCCAAAUAAAAAACACAUUUGGAAAUGGUGAAA
Long non-coding RNA from Mauremys reevesii (Reeves's turtle), 694 nucleotides. RefSeq lists it as uncharacterized. The record is from RefSeq and is a predicted model, not a curated record. NCBI's taxonomy places the organism in Eukaryota, Metazoa, Chordata, Testudines, Geoemydidae. The transcript has 3 exons.